AUCUUCAGGGCAGGGUGAGAUUCCCUACCGGUGGUAAAGCCCACGAGCCGCGAGGUUGAUUCGGUGAGAGUCCGAAGCCGACAGUAUAGUCUGGAUGAAAGAAGAUA
Molecule: non-coding RNA, 107 nt
Filed under: uncultured Coprococcus sp.
Lineage: Bacteria; Bacillati; Bacillota; Clostridia; Lachnospirales; Lachnospiraceae
Description: FMN riboswitch (RFN element)
Rfam family: FMN riboswitch aptamer (RFN element)
About the family: The RFN element is a highly conserved domain that is found frequently in the 5'-untranslated regions of prokaryotic mRNAs that encode for flavin mononucleotide (FMN) biosynthesis and transport proteins. This element is a metabolite-dependent riboswitch that directly binds FMN in the absence of proteins. In Bacillus subtilis, the riboswitch most likely controls gene expression by causing premature transcription termination within the 5' untranslated region of the ribDEAHT operon and precluding access to the ribosome-binding site of ypaA mRNA.
Source: RNAcentral